GUAAGGGCAUGAUUGAUGAGAAUGAGAAGUUUGGCGGACGCUUUUAUAAAUAUGGGAAAGUGUAGGGGGGUGUGACCACUGAGACAUACUGAUGUCUCCUCCUGCCAGAGGUCACUAUGUUCCUAAUGCUCUUUAGGGGGGUGUGACUAGUUGGGCACUGGUGAGCACGGUCGGGCCCAGCUAGUUGCCGAAUUUGGUGUCAAGCUCUCCACCAUCCCCGGGGUCACUGGCGCAAGGGCGUGACCAUAAGUGAGCUCCUUACGUACUCAUUGUACUAGGAGGCGGGCAUUGUGCUCUCGAGAGAUAGGAGCUCGGUGUCUCCAUGAAGAAGGAGCUUCAUGGACACUACAAGGCCGAGGGGCUUGUAGUGCGCGUCACUCCUAGGCCCGAGGUUUCGGUAUAAGGCCGACGAUGCUACUCGGUAUACGGGCCAAUGAUGCUACUCGGUAUAGGGGAACAUUGGCUUUGGGUUCAGCCAUACGGUCGGAUGUUACUUAUUACCUUGCUGUCGGACAAUGCUUGCUGCUAGGCUUUCGUAUGAUGCGUGAGGAUGUACACGAUGAAGGGCGACAUCGUGCUACUAGGAAUAUCAAUGUUCGAUGAUCGGGCUAAGAUACGUGGGAGACCCUCGAUAAGGAUAUUGGAAUUCCUCUUUAAGGGGGAAAGACCCUUGAAUACGAGUAGGCUGGCCUAGAUUGGGUGGAAGUCUAGGCGCCGCACGGGACUACUGUCCGAGCUAGGAAGUGGCCCCGUGACAGUUGGUAUCCGAGUGAGGCAGAAUGUCACAAGGAAGAAAAUGAUAAUACCAUUAUUAAUCAAGCGGGGUAGCCAUUCCAUCAUUGAUCGAGUGGGGCAACCAUGCCACCAUCCUAACAUGAGGAUGAUAUGAAGAAGGUGUAAGAAAAUACACACAAGUUCAUAUAAAGAUACAUAAGGGAAUCGGGAGAUCAAUAUGCGAGAACCAGACAUGGUGGAGGAUUUGAAGAGGCACAAGAUGUUUGGGAGAGCUGUGUUCAACAUGGUAAAUAACUUGGAGAGGCACUUGAUAUUCCGGAGACAUUUGUUCAAUAGGAGGUGUUCGCGACAAAUCGAUGAGGACAUUGAUUGUCUAAGUGGGGGAGAAUGUAAGGGGGACAGCCCGUCAUCCCUCGAGGAUUGGCCAAACCCAGCCAAGCCGUAGGCCUAUGAGAUGGUAUAAGGGCACAGUUGAAGAGAAUGAGAAGUUUGCGGGACACUUUUAUAAAUAUGGAAUAGUCCAAGGGGGUGUGAUGGGUGAGACAUAC
Molecule: unclassified non-coding RNA, 1283 nt
Filed under: Hevea brasiliensis (rubber tree)
Lineage: Eukaryota; Viridiplantae; Streptophyta; Magnoliopsida; Malpighiales; Euphorbiaceae
Source: RNAcentral